Molecule: ribosomal RNA, 403 nt
Filed under: uncultured bacterium
Lineage: Bacteria
Description: bacterial SSU rRNA
Rfam family: Bacterial small subunit ribosomal RNA
Source: RNAcentral
UGGGGAAUCUUGGACAAUGGAGGAAACUCUGAUCCAGCCAUGCCGCGUGAGUGAUGAAGGCCUUCGGGUUGUAAAACUCUUUUGGCGGGGACGAUAAUGACGGUACCCGCAGAAUAAGCUCCGGCUAACUUCGUGCCAGCAGCCGCGGUAAUACGAAGGGGGCUAGCGUUGUUCGGAAUUACUGGGCGUAAAGCGUGCGCAGGCGGCUGCUCAAGUCAGGGGUGAAAGCCCAGAGCUCAACUCUGGAAUUGCCUUUGAGACUGAGUGGCUUGAGUACGGGAGAGGUGAGUGGAAUUCCCAGUGUAGAGGUGAAAUUCGUAGAUAUUGGGAAGAACACCGGUGGCGAAGGCGGCUCACUGGCCCGUAACUGACGCUCAGGCACGACAGCGUGGGGAUCAAACAG